This 71-nucleotide transfer RNA is filed under the name Marmota monax (woodchuck). Its description in RNAcentral is "tRNA.Val". The record is from RNAcentral. Lineage: Eukaryota; Metazoa; Chordata; Mammalia; Rodentia; Sciuridae.
GGGGUUGUGGCUCAGUGGUAGAGUGGUUGCCUCACAUGAGUGAAAGACUGGGUUCAAUUCUCAGCACCACA